AGUGAACGCUGGCGGUAGGCCUAACACAUGCAAGUCGAACGGCAGCACAGUAAGAGCUUGCUCUUACGGGUGGCGAGUGGCGGACGGGUGAGGAAUACAUCGGAAUCUACUUUUUCGUGGGGGAUAACGUAGCGAAACUUACGCUAAUACCGCAUACGACCUACGGGUGAAGGCAUGGGAUCUUCUGACCUUGCGCGAUUGAAUUAGCCGAUGUCGGAUUAGCUAGUUGGCGGGGUAAAGGCCCACCAAGGCGACGAUCCGUAGCUGGUCUGAGAGGAUGAUCAGCCACACUGGAACUGAGACACGGUCCAGACUCCUACGGGAGGCAGCAGUGGGGAAUAUUGGACAAUGGGCGCAAGCCUGAUCCAGCCAUACCGCGUGGGUGAAGAAGGCCUUCGGGUUGUAAAGCCCUUUUGUUGGGAAAGAAAAGCAGCAGGUUAAUACCCCGCUGUUCUGACGGUAACCAAAGAAUAAGCACCGGCUAACUUCGUG
RNAcentral lists this ribosomal RNA (492 nucleotides) under uncultured bacterium. RNAcentral describes it as "partial 16S ribosomal RNA". It matches the Rfam family "Bacterial small subunit ribosomal RNA", at positions 29 to 507 of the family's 1533-position model. The record is from RNAcentral.